GGAUGCGAUCAUACCAGCACUAAAGCACCGGAUCCCAUCAGAACUCCGAAGUUAAGCGUGCUUGGGCGAGAGUAGUACUAGGAUAGUUGACCUCCUGGGAAGUCCUCGUGUCGCAUUCCC
This 120-nucleotide ribosomal RNA is filed under the name Secale cereale subsp. vavilovii. The record is from RNAcentral. Lineage: Eukaryota; Viridiplantae; Streptophyta; Magnoliopsida; Poales; Poaceae.